AAUGAACGCUGGCGGAAUGCUUUACACAUGCAAGUCGAACGGCAGCACGGGGGCAACCCUGGUGGCGAGUGGCGAACGGGUGAGUAAUACAUCGGAACGUGCCCAAUCGUGGGGGAUAACUACGCGAAAGCGUAGCUAAUACCGCAUACGAUCUACGGAUGAAAGCGGGGGAUCGCAAGACCUCGCGCGAAUGGAGCGGCCGAUGGCAGAUUAGGUAGUUGGUGGGGAAAGGCUCACCAAGCCGUCGAUCUGUAGCUGGUCUGAGAGGACGACCAGCCACACUGGGACUGAGACACGGCCCAGACUCCUACGGGAGGCAGCAGUGGGGAAUCUUGCGCAAUGGGAGCAAUCCUGACGCAGCGACGCCGCGUGUGGGAGGACGCCUCGGGUGGUAAC
This 396-nucleotide ribosomal RNA is filed under the name uncultured bacterium. RNAcentral's name for it is "bacterial SSU rRNA". It matches the Rfam family "Bacterial small subunit ribosomal RNA", at positions 29 to 430 of the family's 1533-position model. The record is from RNAcentral.